This 557-nucleotide small RNA is filed under the name Pongo abelii (Sumatran orangutan). Its description in RNAcentral is "processed transcript". Lineage: Eukaryota; Metazoa; Chordata; Mammalia; Primates; Hominidae. The record is from RNAcentral.
AUGCCUUGGAGAUCACACCAGACCGCAGCAUGAUUGCUGCUGCAGGUUACCAGCAUAUCCGCAUGUAUGAUCUCAACUCCAAUAACCCUAACCCCAUCAUCAGUUACGACGGCGUCAACAAGAACAUCGCGUCUGUGGGCUUCCACGAAGACGGCCGCUGGAUGUACACGGGCGGCGAGGACUGCACAGCCAGGAUCUGGGACCUCAGGUCCCGGAACCUGCAGUGCCAGCGGAUCUUCCAGGUGAACGCACCCAUUAACUGCGUGUGCCUGCACCCCAACCAGGCAGAGCUCAUCGUGGGUGACCAGAGCGGGGCUAUCCACAUCUGGGACUUGAAAACAGACCACAACGAGCAGCUGAUCCCUGAGCCUGAGGUCUCCAUCACGUCUGCCCACAUCGACCCCGACGCCAGCUACAUGGCAGCUGUCAAUAGCACUCUCAUCACUUGUACCUCUUGCCCCCGGAUUUCCCUUCUCCUGGCCUUUGUCAUGCUGUCCCUCUAGCUGGUGCCUGUCUCCUGUGUAUUUCCGUUGGCCAUCGGCAUCCUCCAGGAAGGU